ACCAGACGGAGCCUCCGGAGUUCCUCCGCCCCCACCUCGCCGGGUCCUGGAGCCGCGGUCCUCCCAGCUGCCCUCCUCGUGGCCAUGGAGUGUCCACACCUGAGCUCCAGCGUCUGCAUUGCUCCGGACUCAGCCAAGUUCCCCAACGGCUCCCCGUCGUCCUGGUGCUGCAGCGGUCUUUGGUAGAAGAGUUUAGAAAGACACUCUGUGCUUUAUGGCAAGGCAGCCAGACUGCAUUUAGCCCAGAGUCCUUAUUUUAUGUUGUUUGGAAGAUUAUGCCAAACUUUAGGGGCUAUCAACAGCAGGACGCCCAUGAAUUCAUGCGCUACCUUUUGGACCACCUACACUUGGAACUCCAGGGCGGUUUCAACGGUGUUUCCCGCUCGGCAAUUCUGCAGGAGAAUUCUACUCUGUCUGCAAGUAACAAGUGUUGCAUAAAUGGAGCAUCUACUGUUGUCACGGCUAUAUUCGGAGGCAUUCUCCAAAAUGAGGUUAACUGCCUCAUAUGUGGGACAGAAUCUAGAAAGUUUGAUCCAUUCCUAG
RNAcentral lists this small RNA (543 nucleotides) under Pongo abelii (Sumatran orangutan). RNAcentral describes it as "processed transcript". Lineage: Eukaryota; Metazoa; Chordata; Mammalia; Primates; Hominidae. The record is from RNAcentral.